AUUGAACGCUGGCGGCGUGCCUAACACAUGCAAGUCGAGCGGUAACAGGUGUAGCAAUACAUGCUGACGAGCGGCGGACGGGUGAGUAACGCUUGGGAAUCUGCCUGUUAGUGGGGGACAACCCGGGGAAACUCGGGCUAAUACCGCAUACGCACUACGGUGGAAAGCCGGGGACCGCAAGGCCUGGCGCUAACAGAUGAGCCCAAGUCGGAUUAGCUAGUUGGUAGGGUAACGGCCACCAAGGCGACGAUCCGUAACUGGUCUGAGAGGACGACCAGUCACACCGGAACUGAGACACGGUCCGGACUCCUACGGGAGGCAGCAGUGGGGAAUAUUGGACAAUGGCGAAAGCCUGAUCCAGCGACGCCGCGUGGGGA
RNAcentral lists this ribosomal RNA (377 nucleotides) under uncultured bacterium. RNAcentral's name for it is "bacterial SSU rRNA". It matches the Rfam family "Bacterial small subunit ribosomal RNA", at positions 29 to 407 of the family's 1533-position model. The record is from RNAcentral.